Non-coding RNA from Picea glauca (white spruce), 56 nucleotides. The record is from Rfam. Lineage: Eukaryota; Viridiplantae; Streptophyta; Pinopsida; Pinales; Pinaceae.
CUCAAAAUCAAUCUUUAUCACAAGUUUAACUAGAACUAUAGCAUUGACAAAAAGAU